Molecule: ribosomal RNA, 247 nt
Filed under: uncultured bacterium
Lineage: Bacteria
Description: partial 16S ribosomal RNA
Rfam family: Bacterial small subunit ribosomal RNA
Source: RNAcentral
AACGAACGCUGGCGGCAGGCCUAACACAUGCAAGUCGAGCGCCCGUAGCGAAUACGGGAGCGGCAGACGGGUGAGUAACACGUGGGAACGUGCCCAAAGGUACGGAACGAACUCCGGGAAACUGGAGCUAAUACCGUAUGUGCCCGAAAGGGAAGAUUUAUCGCCUUUGGAUCGGCCCGCGUCUGAUUAGCUAGUUGGUGAGGUAAUGGCUCACCAAGGCGACGAUCAGUAGCUGGCUGAGAGGGAU